GUAUACAAUGAGACCAUUUACCAUUGAUACAAGGUGGUUACAAUUCCUUACAACUAUUUGAUGUGAAAUUUGAUAAUUUGGAUAUGGUACAAAGUUCGAGAAAUUUUCUUUUGAAGUUUGAUCUUGGUCAAUGCAAUAAUUGUAGCCACCCAAUUGCACAUCCAAUAGUCAAGAUUAAUGUGACCACCUUGUAUCAAAGGCAACUGGUCUCAUUCUAUACUCUCUUUUUACCUUUUAUGCAAUGCGGUCACAUUAAUCUCGACCAUUGGAUGUAAAGUUGGGUGGCUGCAAUCAUUCUUUUGACCAAGCUCUCAAACUUCAAAAGAAAUUUUCUCAAACUUUAUGACACAUCCAAGUUAUCAAAAUUCACAUCAAAUAGUUGUAAGGAAUUGUAAUACCUUGUAUAAAAGGUAAAUGGUCUCAUUCUACAC
This 431-nucleotide microRNA precursor is filed under the name Amborella trichopoda. Its description in RNAcentral is "miR8605 stem-loop (atr-MIR8605)". The record is from miRBase by way of RNAcentral. Lineage: Eukaryota; Viridiplantae; Streptophyta; Magnoliopsida; Amborellales; Amborellaceae.